AGCCCUAUGCCCUAGUCUCUGA
Molecule: microRNA, 22 nt
Filed under: Euprymna scolopes
Lineage: Eukaryota; Metazoa; Mollusca; Cephalopoda; Sepiida; Sepiolidae
Description: Esc-Novel-68_5p (mature (guide))
Source: RNAcentral